Long non-coding RNA from Populus euphratica (Euphrates poplar), 1890 nucleotides. RefSeq lists it as uncharacterized. NCBI's taxonomy places the organism in Eukaryota, Viridiplantae, Streptophyta, Magnoliopsida, Malpighiales, Salicaceae. The record is from RefSeq and is a predicted model, not a curated record. The transcript is spliced from 9 exons.
AAUUUUUUAUGUUAGGGUUUUUAAUUAAAAAAACCAAUUAUUGGUUGGAAACCGGAAGUAACGUGCGACCACAAGACGAAAUAACCGAGGAGGGGAAUCGUUACCGUUUUUGGCAAGGGAGGGUAACCUUGCCAGGGUUUUGUGGAGAAAUUCUGAUUGGAAGUGACAUGAUAGUCAAAGUCAAAUGAAAGGAGACUACCAGAUUGUCUAUAAAGACUUGGCAGCUUCCACGAGAGCUCUUUGUAACGGAAAUGGAUGAUUGGGAUCACGCAAGCAACUUUACAGCCUAGUUUUCCUUCUGCUUGGUAUGGUUGGGGUGGGUUAUCAGAGGGUUUGGAUUCUUUUAGAGCAUGGGAUGUGGCUCUCGGCUCUUGGGUUGGUGUUGGGUGAUCUGUGUUUAUUGCUUGAUUCUAUCAAUCUUUGCUGUUGGAUGGGCUUUGUGUUGAUCGGUUGAUUAGUUCUGUUGGUGGCUCUAGCAUGACUAGUGAGGACUGGUUUGGAUGGAGCUAGGGUGGGGGCUGCUUUUUCCCACGUUUGAGAGAACACCAUCAUUGUGCAUUUAAUUCACAGCCUACUUUCACCCUACGGUGGCCCUCUGUUCAACACAGGGCACUUUUCAAUCUGCCUUGCCAGUUUCCAGUUUAUUGAUCUCUCUUGCUUAGUUUCUGCUCAUGUCUUGAUGUAACCAGGUUUUCUGACGCCCUGCAAAGCUUCUCAUCCUUUCAUUUGCUGCUUCUAUCUUGGUUUUGCAGAAAUACAUCUUCCAUGCAUCCCUCCGUGCUCAGGUGUCAUGUCUGGGUGCCAAAACUAAAGGAUGAAACAAGCAGUUUCAAUUGCUUGUUGUUGUCAGGGAGGCACAAUCAGGAACAUCUAAGGGUAAAGAUAUACAACUAUCUGCUGCUUCCAUACUCGAGGGUGAUUGCUAUGAAAUUCAAGGGUUCUACACCUUAAAAAAUAGGUACCCGAACUCUAUUGCCAACCAUAAAAUAGUUAUUGAUUUCAAAUCUAAUACCAAAGUUGCUAGACUUGAUGCUCUAACACCUCUUAAGCAAUGCUACUAUUUUAACUUCACGGAUUUUGCACAUGUCCUAGCCAGAGGAAGAGGGCCAAGGAUACUCACUGAUGUUCUUAGCAGACUCAAAGUGGUUCAGCCACUUGAACAAAUCUUAGUUUGACGAUAGACACUUGUUUUCAAGCGAGAGUUUAUUAUGGAUAAUAUCAGGGGCAACGAGCUUAAGAUUACUCUUUGGGUUGAUGUUGCUCUAAGCUUUGAUGACACCGCUCUAGACGGUCAAUAAGAACCAGUGCUUGCUGUUUUUGCUGGCUACUAGGAAAUCCCAACCUCAUUGGCACUGCUGUCCCUAUGGUAUUUUAAUCUAGAGAUUUCUGAGCUUCUCCCAUAUAAGCAUCAAUGCACUGUCUACUCUUCACUUUGAUCCUUUACAUUGUUUUUUGUCAUUUAUUCUUUGCCUUCUAACACACUUAACCUUUUAUUUCUCGGCUUUGGCCAAAUGCCACUUCAAAUUCAGCGGCUCCCGCCUUUCGCAAACGCUAUUAGAUCGAUUGAAGAAUAAAUUAAUGAAAAUAGAAAGAUAAUCAAGGAAGUUCUUUGCAUGGAUCCAUAUUAUCACAAGGUCCAUUAAAAAACAAGAAUGACCGAUUCACUUACAGAGCUUCAGUAGCUGACUUGACCUUUAUAGAGGGAGGUGGUACGAUAGUUGUGCCCAGUGAUCCGAGAUGUACUGAGCAUCCUGCAGUGACACCAACACCAUGGUAAAAAAAAUAUUAUUGAUGUCCACAUGCUUACCUGACAUGAAGGUAGUCGUACCCCAACGUAAUUUCAACAAUACUUCUAUUUAUAGUAUAAUAAUAUACAUUAAUAUUUAUAAG